CUAGGCAUCAAAGCGGUAGGACUACCCGCUGAACUUAAGCAUAUAUUAAAGCCGGAGGAAGA
This 62-nucleotide ribosomal RNA is filed under the name Dacryopinax spathularia. RNAcentral's name for it is "partial 26S ribosomal RNA". Lineage: Eukaryota; Fungi; Basidiomycota; Dacrymycetes; Dacrymycetales; Dacrymycetaceae. The record is from RNAcentral.